Molecule: ribosomal RNA, 525 nt
Filed under: uncultured bacterium
Lineage: Bacteria
Description: bacterial SSU rRNA
Rfam family: Bacterial small subunit ribosomal RNA
Source: RNAcentral
GCGAUGUUUGAUCCUGGCUCAGAACGAACGCUGGCGGCGCGCCUAAUACAUGCAAGUCGAGCGAGAAGACGUAGCAAUACGUUUGUAAAGCGGCGAACGGGUGAGGAAUACAUGGGUAACCUACCCUCGAGUGGGGAAUAACUAGCCGAAAGGUUAGCUAAUACCGCAUACGACUCUUGGUCUGCGGAUCGAGAGGGAAAGCGAUACCGUGGGUAUCGCGCUCUUGGAUGGGCUCAUGUCCUAUCAGCUUGUUGGUGAGGUAAUGGCUCACCAAGGCUUCGACGGGUAGCUGGUCUGAGAGGACGAUCAGCCACACUGGCACUGCGACACGGGCCAGACUCCUACGGGAGGCAGCAGUAAGGAAUAUUGCGCAAUGGGCGACAGCCUGACGCAGCGACGCCGCGUGGGGGAUGAAGGUCUUCGGAUUGUAAACCCCUUUCGGCAGGGAAGAUGGAACGGGCAACCGUUCGGACGGUACCUGCAGAAGCAGCCACGGCUAACUUCGUGCCAGCAGCCGCGGUAAUA